AGGAGGCACCCAGAGAUCGGGCCUGGUGUGGGCAGCUUUGUACCGGGAUUUUCUUCCUGCUGAUGAAGAGGAGGUGGACCCCCACGGAGACCUCUACAGUUUUUUCCAGUAUGGCCUGAAUUCUGUGGACGGACUCUUUCCUGGCCUGCCGAACACUGUCCUGGCCACCAGUCUCGAUGGAAUCCAGUUCCAACAGCAGCUUGGUCAACAUCUCCUCCAGCAGCCGUCUGCGAACAGAAAUGAUGCAAGCGGACGAGAUCUACCAGUUCUGGGGCCCGAGGGGCAGGGUGCUCAGGUCACCCCGGAGCUGUCGAGUUGGAGAACUCAUCGUAUGAACGGUCUGUAUGUCCAAACCACGUGUGAGCAUUUACCUGAACACAUUCAGGUAAAAAUGGACACUGAACGUGAGCUUCCAUCUAACCACAGAGGAGACAAUUCAGCGUCAGGGUUUCACGAGCUCACGGAUGACUCCCUAUAGCUUUGGGCAAAACAGUUUUUUGCCCGUGAGCUGUUUCACAGGGAAGGGAUUGCAUCACCUGCGUGCCGGGAUUUAUGAAAGCGCUGGAUCAAACCUACACGUCCCAGAGGAUUAAAACAAACCGCAGUUAUGUCUGGGCAGCAGACAACCUCUUUGGAAAGAGUAAAGCCCUUCUCUUCACACAGUAUUUGUGCAACGGCCCCUAAAAAAAGCUAUUGCUGCAAUAAAACCAACAAAUAAUAGAUCCA
Molecule: long non-coding RNA, 726 nt
Organism: Tyto alba (common barn owl)
Lineage: Eukaryota; Metazoa; Chordata; Aves; Strigiformes; Tytonidae
Exons: 3
Source: RefSeq, a predicted model, not a curated record